This is an RNA transcript of Mastomys coucha (southern multimammate mouse), 2381 nucleotides long. It is a transcript of the gene named ubiquitin-associated protein 2-like, with no coding region annotated. The record is from RefSeq and is a predicted model, not a curated record. The transcript is spliced from 3 exons. NCBI's taxonomy places the organism in Eukaryota, Metazoa, Chordata, Mammalia, Rodentia, Muridae.
GGAGGGGGUUCACAGUCCUGUUUGGGAAGAGGUGGUGUGGGAAGUCAGAUGACCAUGAGAAUUAUUGGAAAUCUGCAAUUGACUGAGGGGGUAGAUAGGUGGCAUCUUCAGGAAGAGACAGAGACCUGUAAUAGUGGAGGCCCCAAGAAUCAAUGGGGGGGUCCUUAGUCAGGAUUUAGAGCAUUGGGGAUAUAGAACCUGGAAGGGUUGCCUCCUGUGGGUAGGCAGGAACUAUGGUAGAACAAUAAAGACACCAACCCACCCAAAAAACUUUCAAUCUAAAACUUAUCCUGUCUACAAGAAAUGCAGAAGUAUGAAGGAGAAUGAGGAUCUUAUUGUAUUGCCCAGGUUGACCUCAAAUUUACGGUCCUCUCUGUCAGCUUUCCAAGUGCUGGGAUUACGUUAUUCUCCCUUGUACAUACUGUUAUUUGUAUAUACUGUAAAUGGUGACAUUGGUGGGAAAUAACCAAGCCCUGGGAAACUAGGAACAACUCAAAACCAAAACCAGACACAGCACAAGCAGCAGCCACAGGCCACUGCAGAGAAACUUCGACUUGCACAUAUGAUUUCGGACCACAAUGAUGCUUACUUUGAGGAGAAGGCAAAACAGUUGAUUAAUAUCACAGGCAAAAACCAGGAUGAAUGGGUGAUUGCCUUGCAUGACUGCAAUGGAGAUAUCAACAGAGCCAUCAGUGUUCUCCUGGAAGGAAAUCCAGACACGCAUUCCUGAGAGAUGGUUGGGAAGAAGAAAGGAGUCUCAGGACAGAAGGAUAGUUGACAAACUGAAUCUAAUGAAGAAGGAAAAGAAAAUUGAGACUGAGACAGGACUAUAGUCAGCGAUGUCGUGGGCAACCAAGACAGAAGAGAGCUGUGGUUUGGGGCUAGGAAAAUGGAUUACAUGGUACUAAUUGUGGAGGGCCUUCUGGAAGAGGCACAGAGAGAGGCAGAAGAGGCUUUGGCCAGUGCAGAGGUAGUUCUGGUAAGCGAGGCCAAAGGUUUUCUGCUCAAGAAAUGGAAACCUUUAACUUGGCUGAUUUUGCAGAGCCAGCCAACACUGAUGAUAACUAUGGCAAUAGCAGUGACAAUACAUGGAUCAACACUGGCCACUUUGAACCAGAUGAUGGAACAAGUGCAUGGAGGACUGCAACAGAAGAGUGGGUAGUGAAGAUUGGAAGGUCUUUCUGAGACCAAGAUCUUUACUGCCACUAUUGUGUCUUCAGUGCCUCUGCCUGCAGAGAAUAUGACAAUCACUGCUGGUCAGAGAACUGACCUUGCUCUUCUGUUGGGGAAGAUACUCUCUUCAAUGGAGAAUGAUUCAUCUAGUCUGGAUCCAUCUAAGGCUCCUUUCAUGGCCUAACCUCUGGUGUUUAGUAAUUUGAAGCAGAAUGCCAAAUCACAAAAUGAUACAUUUUCUCAUCAUAGCAUGGUGAGCAUGUUGGGGAAAGGAUUUGGUGAUGUUGGAGAAGCUAAAGGUGGAAGUACAACAGGCUCUCCAUUCUUGGAGCAACUGCCCAGGCCCUUGCUCAACUGACAGCUCAACAUGCUCAAUCUGGAAGCACCACCACCUCCUCUCAGGAUAUGGCUCAACAUCCCAAUCACCAUCCCUGGUGCAGUAUGAUUUGAAGAGUGCAAAUGAUUCGACAGUGCACAGUCCUUUUACAAAGCACCUUUUAAAAACCCCAUCUUCAACUAUGAUGGAGGUAUUCCUUUAGGAGAAGCCACCUGCAGUGGCUACCUCAACAGUUGCGCCUCCUCCCCCCUCUUCUCCUCAGCCAAACAAAUCUGCCUCGGCUCCACAGAUGUCUCUGGGCUCUUCAGACAACCAAUCCUCCAGCCCUCAGCCGGCUCAGCAGAAACUGAAACAGCAAAAGAAGAAAACCUCCUUGACGUCUAAGAUUUCUGCUCUGGCUGUGGAGAUGCCUGUCUCAUCAGAUAUCUCAGGGAUAAAUCUGCAGUUUGGGUCAGAGCCUGUCCUUUCUGAUAAUGAGUCCACCCAUACCGAGAGUGCCUCUUCAAGCCAAUCUCCUAGUAACCAGUAUACCAGCAUGGGCAGUGAGUCUUCGUCUACAUUUUCAUCUUAUCAGAGUUCAGGAGUCUGGUUAUUAGAGUGGCCCGAUUCAGUCGACAACUUAUACCUCCCAAAAUAAUGCUCAGGGCCCUCUAUAUGAACAGAGAUCCACACAGACAUGGCAGUAUCCCAGCUCCAUCUCUUCAUCACCCCCAAAAGGAGACCUGACUCAGGCCAAGAACAGUUGCAGCUCUGUGCACACCAUGCAGGAAGAUUUCACAGAUGCUGUAGUGAAUAUGUGGAUGUUAGAAAAAAGGUAGUAGGACUUAACUCUCUCAUCUACUUCUGGGUUCUUUGAUGAAAUUCAGGUUAG